Long non-coding RNA from Bombina bombina (fire-bellied toad), 213 nucleotides. RefSeq lists it as uncharacterized. The transcript is spliced from 3 exons. The record is from RefSeq and is a predicted model, not a curated record. Lineage: Eukaryota; Metazoa; Chordata; Amphibia; Anura; Bombinatoridae.
GUUCACUCACAGGAACCUGUCUACCCAGGGUCUCAUAAUGCUUUUGCUUGUGGAAUGCCGCUCCCUGCCUGUUCUGGCCCAAUGGCGAGCAAGUAGGAGGUUGUUAAUCACCCCGGUGUGAAUGCAUACGUAGGUACCACAAGCAUUUCUACUACAACUGCCACAGCUGAUAAUGCGUGUGCAUGCAGUGACUGUUCCAUCCUUGGAUUGUUA